AAUGGGCGCAAGCCUGAUCCAGCCAUGCCGCGUGAGUGAUGAAGGCCCUAGGGUCGUAAAGCUCUUUCGCCUGUGAAGAUAAUGACGGUAGCAGGUAAAGAAACCCCGGCUAACUCCGUGCCAGCAGCCGCGGUAAUACGGAGGGGGUUAGCGUUGUUCGGAAUUACUGGGCGUAAAGCGCGCGUAGGCGGAUUAGUAAGUCAGAGGUGAAAUCCCGGGGCUCAACCCCGGAACUGCCUUUGAUACUGCUAGUCUUGAGUUCGAGAGAGGUAAGUGGAAUUCCGAGUGUAGAGGUGAAAUUCGUAGAUAUUCGGAGGAACACCAGUGGCGAAGGCGGCUUACUGGCUCGAUACUGACGCUGAGGUGCGAAAGUGUGGGGAGCAAACAGGAUU
RNAcentral lists this ribosomal RNA (392 nucleotides) under uncultured Gammaproteobacteria bacterium. RNAcentral's name for it is "bacterial SSU rRNA". It matches the Rfam family "Bacterial small subunit ribosomal RNA", at positions 370 to 779 of the family's 1533-position model. The record is from RNAcentral. Lineage: Bacteria; Pseudomonadati; Pseudomonadota; Gammaproteobacteria.